AUCCUUUUUUGGUUCAUAAGCAUGAUGAUUGUGUUUGCACGCUAUUGUGUGACACGUGCCUCCCUCUAAACUUUGUUAGGACAUCAGCACAUUACCCGUCUGAUG
Cynocephalus volans (Philippine flying lemur) is the source of this 105-nucleotide small nucleolar RNA. RefSeq annotates it as small nucleolar RNA U13. The transcript has a single exon. Lineage: Eukaryota; Metazoa; Chordata; Mammalia; Dermoptera; Cynocephalidae. The record is from RefSeq and is a predicted model, not a curated record.